UACCCUGGUAGUCCACGCCGUAAACGAUGCUAACUCGUUUUUGGGUUUUCGGAUUCAGAGACUAAGCGAAAGUGAUAAGUUAGCCACCUGGGGAGUACGUUCGCAAGAAUGAAACUCAAAGGAAUUGACGGGGGCCCGCACAAGCGGUGGAUUAUGUGGUUUAAUUCGAUGAUACGCGAGGAACCUUACCAAGGCUUAAAUGGGAAUUGAUCGGUUUAGAAAUAGACCUUCCUUCGGGCAAUUUUCAAGGUGCUGCAUGGUUGUCGUCAGCUCGUGCCGUGAGGUGUUAGGUUAAGUCCUGCAACGAGCGCAACCCCUGUUACUAGUUGCUACCAUUAAGUUGAGGACUCUAGUAAGACUGCCUACGCAAGUAGAGAGGAAGGUGGGGAUGACGUCAAAUCAUCACGGCCCUUACGCCUUGGGCCACACACGUAAUACAAUGGCAGGUACAGAGGGCAGCUACACAGCGAUGUGAUGCGAAUCUCGAAAGCCUGUCUCAGUUCGGAUUGGAGUCUGCAACUCGACUCUAUGAAGCUGGAAUCGCUAGUAAUCGCGCAUCAGCCAUGGCGCGGUGAAUACGUUCCCGGGCCUUGUACACACCGCCCGUCAAGCCAUGGAAGUCUGGGGUACCUGAAGUCGGUGACCGUAAAAGGAGCUGCCUAGGGUAAAACAGGUAACUAGGGCUAAGUC
Molecule: ribosomal RNA, 690 nt
Filed under: Chryseobacterium sp.
Lineage: Bacteria; Pseudomonadati; Bacteroidota; Flavobacteriia; Flavobacteriales; Weeksellaceae
Description: bacterial SSU rRNA
Rfam family: Bacterial small subunit ribosomal RNA
Source: RNAcentral